RNAcentral lists this transfer RNA (77 nucleotides) under Pseudoflavonifractor capillosus. RNAcentral describes it as "tRNA-Met". It matches the Rfam family "tRNA". From Rfam's summary of the family: Transfer RNA (tRNA) molecules are approximately 80 nucleotides in length. The record is from RNAcentral. RNAcentral also lists the same sequence under 8 other names. Lineage: Bacteria; Bacillati; Bacillota; Clostridia; Eubacteriales; Oscillospiraceae.
CGCGGGGUAGAGCAGUUUGGUAGCUCGUCGGGCUCAUAACCCGGAGGUCGUAGGUUCAAAUCCUGCCCCCGCAACCA